This 1509-nucleotide ribosomal RNA is filed under the name uncultured bacterium. RNAcentral describes it as "16S ribosomal RNA". It matches the Rfam family "Bacterial small subunit ribosomal RNA". The record is from RNAcentral.
AGAGUUUGAUCCUGGCUCAGAAUGAUCGUUGGCGGCGUGCCUAACACAUGCAAGUCGAGCGAGAAAGUCCCUUCGGGGACGAGUACAGCGGCGGACGAGUGAGCAACACGUGAGUUAUCUGCCUUUUAGUGAAGAAUACCCUCGAGAAAUCGAGGUUAAUGCUGCAUAAGUUCCUUCGGGAAGAAAAGUGGCUUUAUGCUGCUGCUAAAAGAUGAGCUUGCGCGCUAUCAGCUAGUUGGUGAGGUAAAGGCUCACCAAGGCUAUGACGGCUAGCCGGCCUGAGAGGGUGUACGGCCACGCUGGAACUGAGAUACGGUCCAGACUCCUACGGGAGGCAGCAGUGGGGAAUCUUGCGCAAUGGGCGAAAGCCUGACGCAGCGACGCCGCGUGGAGGAUGAAGGUCUUAGGAUUGUAAACUCCUGUCAGGUGGGAAGAAAGAACAAUCUCUAAUACAGAUUGGUGAUGACGGUACCGCCAAAGGAAGCACCGGCUAACUUCGUGCCAGCAGCCGCGGUAAUACGAAGGGUGCAAACGUUAUUCGGAUUUACUGGGCGUAAAGGGUGUGUAGGUGGCAUAUUGUGUCUGUUGUUAAAGACUCCGGCUUACCUGGAGAAGUGCAGCGGAGACUAAUGUGCUAGAGGAUGGAAGAGAGGAGUGGAAUUCCCGGAGUAGCGGUAAAAUGCGUAGAUCUCGGGAGGAACACCAAUGGCGAAGGCAGCUCCUUGGUCCAUACCUGACGCUGAGACACGAAAGCGUGGGGAGCAAACAGGAUUAGAUACCCUGGUAGUCCACGCUGUAAACGAUAAUCACUAGACGUCAGUGAAGGGUAGCUCAGUUGGUUUCGAAGCUAACGCGUUAAGUGAUUCGCCUGGGGAGUACGUUCGCAAGACUUAAACUUAAAGGAAUGACGGGGGGUCCGCACAAGCGGUGGAACAUGUGGUUUAAUUCGACAAUACGCGAGGAACCUUACCUGGACUUGACAUGCAUCUGACCGCCGUAGAGAUACGGUUUUUUAAGCUUCGGUUUAGACAGAUGCACAGGUGCUGCAUGGCUGUCGUCAGCUCGUGUCGUGAGAUGUUGGGUUAAGUCCUUUAACGAGCGCAACCCCUGCCAUCAGUUGCUACUCAUCUUCGGAUGAGGCACUCUGAUGGGACUGCCUGGGAAACCAGGAGGAAGGUGGGGAUGACGUCAAGUCAUCAUGGUCCUUAUGUCCAGGGCUACACACGUGUUACAAUGGUCGGUACAAAGGGACGCCAAACCGUAAGGUGGAGCAAAUCCCAGAAAGCCGAUCUAAGUUCGGAUUGAGGUCUGCAACUCGACCUCAUGAAGUUGAAAUCGCUAGUAAUCGCAUAUCAGCAACGAUGCGGUGAAUACGUUCUCGGACCUUGUACACACCGCCCGUCACACCACGAGAGCUGUUUGUACCCAAAGCUAUUUUAGCCAACCUGAAAAGGACGCGGAUAGUUAAGGUAUGAAUAGUGAUUGGGGUGAAGUCGUAACAAGGUAACC